GGGGUUGAUUUGGUUUUGACAGCAAGACGAGGAUGUAUGUAAGCAUGCCGAGCGUAGUGAAUCUGGCUCGUUAAACUCAGGCACACAAUUUAUAAUUGGCGAAAAUAAUUACGCUCUUGCCGCUUAAUUGAAGUUUAGUAAAUUAAGCAGUCCCGAUUUAUCGGGAUCAUUUCGGUUCUAGGAACUGAAACAAGACAUCUCCCGGAAGCUGCUGUUCUUAGGCUAACCGAAUCGGAGAUGCUAUAAAUUAGGAACUAGUUUGUGUUUUACUCCGCAACACUUACGAAAUUAAGGAGAUAAGGUAUUAAUCGGUGGCUUUGAUCCUGUUAGUACUCGAAAAUUAAGUCAGAGCUAAUCAUGUAGAAAGCGUAUGGUCUCCUUGUUUGGACCCGGGUUCGAGUCCCGGCAGCUCCACUG
RNAcentral lists this transfer-messenger RNA (417 nucleotides) under Bacteroidales. RNAcentral describes it as "JAEINW01 sp016342715 Standard tmRNA". It matches the Rfam family "transfer-messenger RNA". From Rfam's summary of the family: Bacterial tmRNA, also known as 10Sa RNA or SsrA, is named for its dual tRNA and mRNA-like properties. Its role is to liberate the mRNA from a stalled ribosome. Lineage: Bacteria; Pseudomonadati; Bacteroidota; Bacteroidia. The record is from RNAcentral. RNAcentral also lists the same sequence under 1 other name.